GUGGGUGUAGCUCAGUUGGUAGAGCCCCGGAUUGUGAUUCCGGUUGUCGUGGGUUCGAGUCCCAUCAUCCACC
Non-coding RNA from Idiomarinaceae bacterium HL-53, 73 nucleotides. The record is from Rfam. Lineage: Bacteria; Pseudomonadati; Pseudomonadota; Gammaproteobacteria; Alteromonadales; Idiomarinaceae.